CGAACGCUGGCGGCGUGCCUAAUACAUGCAAGUCGAGCGAACCAAUUGAAAGCCUUGCUUUCAUGAGGUUAGCGGCGGACGGGUGAGUAACACGUGGGUAACCUGCCCUAUAGACUGGGAUAACUCGCGGAAACGCGUGCUAAUACCGGAUAACACAUCAAAGUGCAUGCUUUGAUGUUGAAAGAUGGCUCCGCUAUCACUAUAGGAUGGGCCCGCGGCGCAUUAGCUUGUUGGUGGGGUAACGGCCUACCAAGGCGACGAUGCGUAGCCGACCUGAGAGGGUGAUCGGCCACACUGGGACUGAGACACGGCCCAGACUCCUACGGGAGGCAGCAGUAGGGAAUCUUCCACAAUGGGCGAAAGCCUGAUGGAGCAACGCCGCGUGAGCGAAGGAGGUCUUCGGAUCGUAAAGCUCUGUUGUAAGGGAAGAAUAAGUGCAGUAGUAACUGGCUGCACCUUGACGGUACCUUACUAGAAAGCCACGGCUAACUAC
RNAcentral lists this ribosomal RNA (493 nucleotides) under uncultured bacterium. Its description in RNAcentral is "bacterial SSU rRNA". It matches the Rfam family "Bacterial small subunit ribosomal RNA", at positions 30 to 504 of the family's 1533-position model. The record is from RNAcentral.